GAGAUGCUGGGGGUGGGAGGGGUGGGGGGCAAAUGGGUGGAGGGAGGCAGAAGCUUAAGUUGUACUUAAAGAAUUGAGAUCAAAGCCUUCCGGCUUCCAGAUGGGGACUGUGGGGGAGGGCUGCACCAUCCCCCCGCCAGGGGCGGAUGAGGCUGAGCCCCCCUUCCUCGGAAACCCCCCGAGACUCUGCGGUGACAGCUGUGCCCCAGCCCGCGCCCGGCGGGUUUCCUUUUCCUGUGCUGGCUCUCCUGACUGGCUGGCCUGCAGUAUGGCGACACCGGCCCGGCCCUUUUGAAGGAGCUCCCUGGAGGGUCUUCCUGGACGAGGGGGAGGGGGCCAGCUGGAGAACAAUGGGCUUCUGUGGCUGCAGGACGCCAGGCACUUCCUGUUAACUCUUCACUCGGGGCCCAGCUGCAGAGGGGGGAGCAAGGCGAGGGGAAUGACAAAACCAGCAAAUGCACAGCUUUUUCUCUUGUUCCACGACUUGUUUGUGAAAGUACCUGGAAAUGGUGAGAUGAAUGCAGACCUUGUCCUCCUCAAUGGAGUCACAGGGCCUGUUUCUUUUCCCCUCUGUUGCUGAGGGUUGUACCAUCAGGGGACGGGGCAUGGCUAGAAAUCCCGGGAUAUCUGGGGCUGGGCUGGGCUGGGCCGGGCAGGGGACUCAGGUGUCCCAGGUGAGUCCAAAGUACAGCUAUGUUUGCCAAGCACGGUUGUUCUAACUGCCCUGCCGGGCGAACUGGAGGUUGCGCUCCCCCGAGCCAUUCCCUUGGUAGUCUGGGCCUCAGUUUCCCUCAGUUUGGGAAGUUCUCCCAAGGGAUUGACCAGAGCACAGGGUGGUCCUAGGGGGCCAGGGUGAGCUGAGCGGGGAGUCUUGGAAAUGCUCUGCUCUUCCUUGGAGCCCUGGAAAGACAUGUUGGGGAAUUAGCCGCUGUGUUAGUUGAGGCUUCAUGCAAAGUCCUGGGUGUUUACAGAGCUAACCUGAGAAGCACCCUCAGAAGAUUCUGUGAGCCUCUGAAGGGCCCCUGAAGACUCAGCAUUCAACCCCAGGGGCUGCCGGUUAGAGACCAGAUCACAUGCCCUGUUCUUAGAAGAGACAGUGUGUAUUUAUAGUUACUGCCCGCCAGGUGCUUUGCUGGGCUCAUUCUGCAUAUUCACUUAGUUAACCCCUGCCCAAGCCUGGGUCAGAAUUAAAGUAGGCACUUUCACUAGCACCAUUUUACGGAUGAGGGAGUUGAGGCACAGAGAAAACGUGUCUACUAAAACAAAGCCCAUUGUUUUUCUUUCUCUCCUGGAUUUGGGGGCAGAGGAUGGGGUGGGUGGGUAGCGAUCUUUCUCCAGACCAGUGGACUUUUGCUUGUGUAUACCCAGCACCUUAUCAUAGAUAAGGAAAGAGAGCUCAGGGUGGUGAGAUCCAUGGUCCAGGUCCUCUGGCCACCACCGGGCGUCCUUUUCUCUCGUGCAUCCUGGGCUAGCCACCCACUAGCUUCGCCCACCAGCUUCCUCCUUCAGCAUUUGCAGACCCACUUGCUGGGUGAUUCUGUACUGUCUUUUCUUCUGUUUCUUCUGGUGAAAACAUCCCCAGAGGCCAAUCUGUGCGUGCUCAGCCCAGGGGCUUGAUGAGGACAAAGUUGGGUUUGGGUUUUAGUUUUUGUUGCUUUUUGUUUUGGGUGAGCAAAUCCAAACCGCCCACACUGCUAGACUAGAAAGGCUGCUGCUGGGCCCCCUUGCAGGUGUCUGGAACAAGAAAUGGCUCACUGCUUCACCCUUUAGACCCGGGGGUGGGGCGAGGGAAGGCCGGGAGGGCCAUCAGAGGCCACCUGCCAUGUUAGGGGUGUGUUAGAGGCCGCAGGAGUCUGGGCCUCAGCCCAUGGGCCCCAGGCCAGCCCACUGCCAACCAGCCUCCACCUGAGUACCGCCCCCCCCACCCCGCCUCCACCGCCACUCCGCUCCCCUGCUGUGGCCCGCCCUUCCGGAAUGAAACUUGUCCUGGCUUGGAGCCACCAGGAAGGCCAAAGCAAGCCUGCAAUUACUGCUGGGGCCCUGCCGGCUGCGGCUUGGAGGCUCAGCAUGGGGCGGGGGUGGAGCUCCUCCCCGUCGGGCCGUGUGCCUGGAGUGGUGGUUCAAGUCUGCAGCUUCUACCCCCAGGUAGUCCCCUGCUGGCUUCUGGCUACCCAGGGAUAUUGUCUUGUAAACAGAUACUCGGAUUUUCAAAGUACUCUCCUGUUGUUUGGGACAAGGCAUUACCUUCUGAGAGGGGUGGGUAUGAAACCAGUUCCUUUUUUUUUUUUUCCAUGCCCUGGGGCUUGCUGGAUCCUAGUUCCCCGACCAGGGAUCGAACCCGUGCCCCCUGCAGUGGAAGCACGGAGUCCUAACCACUGGCCUGCCAGGGAAUUCCCUCUGAGGGAGAAACUGAGGCUGUGAGAAGGGGCUUACCCCAGGAUCUCCAGAACCUUCCUUUUAGGAAGGGGGGCUUCCCCUCUCCUGGCUUUGUGUCUCUGGCUGCUGCUGCUGCGGAGAUGAGGCUACGGAGGAGGGAAUGUGCAAGAGAGGGCCUCUGGGGACUGCAGUCAGCGGGCACUAAUGUGUCUGUCUCUGCAGCCUGGGCGUCCUUCUGUCUCCCGUGACCCCCCUCCCUUAUCCCCAGGCUUGUCCCUUUUUCUCACGACUUUCUGGACAUCUGUGGGCGGUGCAUACUUGUUGCCCAAUCUCCCAGUGAUUCCACUGUGACUAAAGCCAGCUCUGUCCCUGGAGGCUGGAACCAGGGUGCACCCCCAGGGCCACAUGUCCCAAGCUUGGACCUGGGUUUCUGGUCAGACUGGGCGAGUGGGCAGGCAGGCUGGGUCUUCUCGGCUCUGGGAAAUUCUCUGCCCACCCUCUGAAUGGCCCAGGUUCCCUCUGAUUGUCCUGGAUUACCCUAGUGUACCUGUCCCUGCUCUUGGUGAAUCUCCCUCCUUGCAGCUACCCUAUAUGUUCUAGAAAGCUAGGGAAGGAUCCUCAGAACCAUCGUCCUGCCAGCCACCCACCAGAUGGGCCAGGUCUCAGGCAUGCUCCCUGCUCUGUGCUCAAGGCCAGCAUGAUUCUUCCCCCAAACCUUCUCUAAUUCAUAUCGCAACAGAGCCCGUCCUGUCCCGUUGCCAUGGCAUCUGUGGUACCCAGAAGCCAGAUGGUCUUAUGUUCCCUAAUGCCCCUUCCAGGCUCAGGCACUUCUGAGCUCUGUGAGAGUUUACUCUGUACCCCUAAAUCCCCCCCACCACACCGAGGCUGUGUGCCCCAGUAGUCUCCCCCCAUGACUCUGAGACAGGCAGUGAUAGCACUUGUCUGAAUUUCGGAUUUGAACUGGGGUCUGUGGGAGCCUUGGAGCCUAAGGUCUUAAGAAUGACAAUCAUCAUAGCAGCUGUUGCUUCCUAGUGAGGCACUUUACCUAUGGAGUCCUCACCGCAAAGAUUUAUUACCUUAUCCUCAUUUCACAUUGUUGAAACUGAGGCCCAGGGGGGCUGGAUAGCUUGCCUGCUCUAUAUAGUCUUUACAGCGAAAAAGUGCCAGUUUCUUGCCCCCCCCCCCCCCCCCGCCGGUACGCGGGCCUCUCACUGUUGUGGCCUCUCCCGCUGCGGAGCACAGGCUCCGGAUGCGCAGGCUCAGCGGCCAUGGCUCACGGGCCCAGCCGCUCUGCGGCAUGUGGGAUCUUCCCAGACCGGGGCACGAACCCGUGUCCCCUGCAUCGGCAGGCGGACUCUCAACCACUGCGCCACCAGGGAAGCCCAGUGCCAGUUUCUUGACUCUUGACAUUUGGGGCUGGAUCGUUCUCUGUUGGGGGUGGGAGCUCUGCCUUGUGCAUCUCAGGAUGUUGAGCUGCAGUCCUGGCCUCCAUCCACUAGUGUUACCUGAAAACUGGGAUCACCUCUAGGAGGGUGUCAAGGUAAAGAUUGGGAGAAGGAAGGAUUUAUUAUUUGCAGCAGGUAAGGAGAAUACCAGAGAUCUUUCCUAAAGCAGUGUCUGUCUGAACAGCAAAACUGGGGAAGUUUUAAGUAAGGGUACGUGUAUAUUUAGGAAGGGGCUUGAGCAGAAGAGAAUUCAACAUAGAAUUGGGGCAGAGGUAGAUGGAGUCCAAGCUUUACUUGAUUGAAGUCAGAAGGGUCAACAACAUCAUUCUAUCCUCCACCUGGGUUGGGGCCUUAGUUUCUGCAGAACUCAAAGACCUGUAUCAGAUUGUUAUGUAUAUCCCUUCAGGAGGAGCUAGAUCUCUAUUUUAUUGCUGAAAUAUUGUUUCUUGACUACUUUUCCUGUGUUCCCGCAUUCCCUCGCUUCCCUUAAGGUCACUGAUUACUGAGACCCGUUCAAGGGCAAGCGUGGUGGCCAGGCUUAGAUCACAAAGUGGCUUAGGCCAGAAAUGGCUUCACUUAUGUCAAGAAAGCCAUGUCUGGUUCUCUUUCUUUGGGGACCCCCUACCCUAUCUACUUACACUAGGUAUCAGAGCGCCUCUUCCUACAGUCAUGGCAACAAAUAAUGUCCCCAGAUGUGGCUUUAAUUUGGUGUGGGGUGUGGGGCAGCCUCACCACCUGCCUUUGACUGCCCUGACUCUCCACAUAGGUGCCCGCCUGAAAAAUGUGUGUGUGUGUGUGUGUGUGUGUGUGUGUGUGUGUGUGUGUGUGUCUUUUCCCCAAAACAGGCAUGGAGUUCUGGGGAUGGAGGUGAUUGGUAGGUUCUGGCAUCUUAGGGAGGGGUCAGUGGGGCUGUCAUUCUAGGCCAUGUCCCCUUUUCCUGGUGGGAGGCGUGCAGGUUCCCCAGGCCCUGGCAGGUGGAGACAGGCAGCCCUUUUCUUCCUUCCUGGUUCCCAGGGGUGGGUGAUAGUGGCAGAGGCAACCCAGGAGCCAGAGGGUAUGGGGAGCCACGACCUGGCCUCCGGAUUUACUGGGCGGGUGCCCGGGUGUGUGCUCUGAGACACAAGGGCCCUUGUGGGUGUGGAGGAAAAACCAGAGGCUAAAGUAGGUCUCCCCCACCUGCCUGCCUGCCACCCUUACAUCCCACCCAGCCCUGGCUCCAGGCCAGCAACUGCCAGGAUAGUGACUCACAGAGCUGCAGAGCCCAGGAGAGAAACAAUGCAGGGUGGGGUGUCCCCCUCAUCCUCAACCUUCCCAGCAUCCCCGUUAAGACCAGGACCCUUGAGGGCUCUGCAUUUUACUCUCCCUGCGUGACACUGCCAUCCCCCUUCCCCGCCCCCCACCAGUGGGAUUUUUUUUUUUUCUCGGCACCGCGCUACAGCAGGAAGACAGAAAUGAGCGUGGGGCAUGGAAUGUCUGAGGUUGCAAUGUAUUUAGGCCAGGAUGAGAGAGUGUGUGUGCUGGGGAGCGGUCCAUAAAAACUAACCACCCUAUAGUUUGGGCUGCUCUCACCUUUCGAAACAGACCCCAUUCUGUCUAUGGGUUGUGUAUCUCUCUCAAUAAAUCUUACCUGUCACUUUGCCUCUUGCUGAACUCCUUCUGCGAUGAGAUGUAAAGAGUAAGUCCUGAGACCAGGUGUGCUAUUUCAAUUAAAAGACAGUGGGGCGCUUCCCCGGUGGCGCAGUGGUUGAGAGUCCGCCUGCCGAUGCAGGGGACACGGGUUCGUGCCCCAGUCCGGGAAGAUCCCACAUGCCGCGGAGCGGCUGGGCCCGUGAGCCAUGGCCGCUGAGCCUGCGCGUCCGGAGCCUGUGCUCCGCAGCGGGAGAGGCCACAGCAGUGAGAGGCCCGUGUACCGCCAAAAAAAAAAAAAAAAAAAGACAGUGGGUUUGAGUGUCAGCCUGUGGGUUCAAGUCCCAGUCUGAGUUUUGGCUGAGUUCGAGUCUCAUCUGAGGUGCGAUUGGGUUCGAGUCCCAGUCUGAGUUGUGCGGUUUCACGAUAAGGGAUAGAGUGGAGUUGUGACAGAGACCCACCCCCCUCCCAACCCGGACAUAUUUCCUGACCUGCCUCUUGCUUGCUGGUAUCUGGAUUGUACAGGUGGGGGCCUUUCCAUCAGGGUCGGGGAGACAGGCAAUAUUUGAUACUCAAGUGCACUGGUAAGCUCAGAAAAAAGAAAAUACAAUGGGGUUACAAGAGAAGGAGAGAGUGCUGGGGGGAGAGCGGAGUGGUGGCCAAUUUAGAAAGAUGGUCAGUGGCACAGUUGAAUGUUCUUCCCAUCCCAGGCCUGGAAGGGAGGUCUGUGUGUGUUGCUGCAAAGACCCCCUCAUCUGAUCUCUGCCAACCUGUUCCUCCUGGGCAGCCGACGGCCCCGGGAGUGCUUAGGGGAUUUCUGGCUUCUGACUGUGGCCAUGAUGAAGUGACCUGGUGUCCCAGGGGUCAGGGCAGUGUCUCAGGGCAGUUUAACUUGGGGAUUUGGAAGGUGCUUGAUGUGGAGGGGGGAAGAGAAGAGGGAAGCUGUCCCCAGCUGUCACCUGCCACCCUGCUUAUAGCCACUCUGUGCUGACGGCCAGAUGCAAGUCAGUGCCAGACUCCUAUACAUUUCCUUUUUUUUUUUUUUUGGAUAAUAACUUGGACUUUAUUAAAAUUAAUGCUGGGGGAAAGGCAGUGUUAAGAGAAAAAAGACCAGCUACAGAUUAGGAGAAAAUGUUUGCAAAACAAGCAUUUGAUAAGUGACUGAUAUCCAAAACAUACAAAACCAGAACGAAACAACACAAAACCAAAACCAAAACAGAAAAACCCUCUUAAAACUCCACAAUGUAAAACAACAGUAAGAUACCACUACACAUGUAUUAGAAUGGCCAAAACUGGGAACGCUGACAGCAUGGAAUGCUGGUGAGGAUGCAGAGCAAGAGGAAUUCUCGUUCACUGAGUCCUGUACAUUUCUCCCUGACCCUUUCCACAUAAGCUUGUCAAAGGGCUCAUCCUGCCCUGUCUGCUUCCUCUGCCCCUUUCUCCUGGGUUACUCCCACCCUGGCAUUUGUAGUGUGGGCCAGGCAGGGAGUGGGCCUUGCAGGAUGGUGGACACACAUGACCUAGGGCACGUUGUGGGGGGAUGUUGCCUCUACCCUACAGGCUGGCCUCACCUUCUGGGCAGCUGUCUCGGGGGAACCCCAGCACCCUGUUCCUUCUGUUCGUUAAAGCUGGACUUUGAAGGUUGAGACCUUUCCAGAAAACCACUUGGGUCCCUAGAGUUCAGGAAGGAGGAGCCUACAUUCCUCUCCAUUUUUCUGGGCUCACCUGACCACCAUCCCAUCCCAGCUGCUGCAUUUAAGGCCAUCACCCUAGCCAGUCAACUUCUCUGUUAACAAAAACUGCAGUGCUCCCAGGAAAGUUUCAUCUAAAUAUUGAUUCAUUGCUUCAUUCCACACACCUCUAAUGAGCUCAUCCUGCAAACCAUCAAAGACUGGGUGCAGAAUUGGCCCGCCACUGGGAUGUCUUUGCUGUAUCGUUAAGUAAAAAAGCAAGUCGUCAUCCCCCAAAUAAUUGAAAACAUUCAUACAAAUCCUUUUACACACAUGUUCAUAGCAGCACUGUUUACCAUCGCCAAAAGGUGGAAACAAUUGUCCAUCAAUGGAUGAAGGGAUGAACAAAAAGUGGUCCAUCCAUAUGAUGGAAUAUUUUAUUCAGCCUUAAAAAGAAUGAAGCACUGAUACAUGCUACAACAUGGACGAACCUCAGAAACAUUAAGCUCAGUGAAAGAAAAGGUCACGUAUCGUAUGACUUUGUUUUAUAUGAAAUUUAUGGAAUAGGCAAAUCCAGAGACAGAAAGUAGAUGAGUGGUUGCCAGGAGCUGGGAAGAGGGGAUAAGGAGUGACUGCAUAAUGUACAUGAGGUCUCCUUGUGGGGUGAUGAAAAUAUUAUGGAACUGGAUAAGAUGGUUGCAAAACAUUGUGAAUGUACAUGGACCCCAGUGUUGAUAGCAGCACUAUUCACGAUAGCCAAGACAUGGAAACAACCUAAAUGUCCAUCCACAGAUGAAUGAACAAAGAAGAUGUGGUACAUAUAUACAAUGGAAUAUUACUCAGCCAUAAAAAAAGAAUGAAAUAAUGCCAUUUGCAGCAACAUGGAUGGACCUAGAGAUUAUCAUACUAAGUGAAGUAAGUCAGACAGAGAAAGACAAAUACCGUAUAAUAUUACUUAUAUAUGGAAUCUAAAAUAUGACACAAAUGACCGUAUCUACAAAACAGAAACAGACAGACACAGAGAACAGACUUGUGGUUGCCAAGGGGGAUGGGGGUGUGGAGGAGGGAUGGAUUGGGAGUUUGGGAUUAGCAGAUGCAAACUAUUAUAUAUAAAAUGGAUAAACAACAAGGUCCUACUAUAUAGCACAGGGAACUAUAUGCAAUAUCCUGUGGUAAACCGUAAUGGAAAAGAAUAUGAAAAAGAAUGUGUGUAUAUAUAUAUAUAUAUAUAUAACUGAAUCACUUUGCUGUACAGCAGAAAUUAACACAACAUUGUAAAUCAACUAUACUUCAAAAAAAUGUGAAUGUACUAAAUGCCACCAAAUCGUAGAGUUUAUUACUUUUUAAAAAAAAUUUAUUUAUUUUUGGCUGCGUUGGGUCUUCAUUGCUGCGUGUGGGCUUUCUCUAGUUGCAGCGAGCUGGGGCUACUCUUCACUGCGGUGUGCGGGCUUCUCAUUGUGGUGACUUAUCUUGUUGCGGAGCACAGGCCCUAGAGCGCAGACUCAGUAGUUGUGGCGCCCGGGCUUAGUUGCUCCGUGGCAUGGGGGAUCUUUCUGGACCAGGGAUCACACCUGUGUCCCCUGCAUUGGCAGGCGGAUUCUUAACCACUGCGCCACCAAGGAAGUCCCUGUACAGUUUAGAAUGAUGGUUACUGGUUGGGAAUUCUCUGGAAGUCAAAAAAAAAAAAAAAGAAAUAAAGAAGGAAAGAAGGAAAGAAAGAAAGGAAGUGGUUCCUAGUUAAUUUUAUGUUCUGUGAAUUUUACCUCAACUUAAAAAAAAAAACAAGCAAGUCACCAAAGGUAAGUAUUGCAUGCUUCUGCUUUGUCUUUAAAUAAAAGGACUUACAAGGGUGUGGGGUGGGAGGCAGUGCCGUCCAGGAGUGAAGGAAAGAGACUGCCCAGUAUCAAUCCCCUUCUCCUACCAGUCCUCAAGGCUUUGCGCCUCCCAGCCAAGUCUGCACAAGUGGAUGUGGCCUCCGGUCUGUGGGAAGGGUGGCUGCUUUGUGCCUGCCCAUUGGAGGGGCUCAGGAACAGUGAACUCUCAGGAUGGUGGUGAGAACAGAGUCCCAAUAUAGACCAGAUGGCUAACAGUGGUCACCCAGGCAGGAAGGCACUGGGUGGCCACAUUGUUCAUGAGCCCAUUGGGUCAACACAGGGGUGGCUGGGGAAGGAGGCCAGUUGUUAUCCACAGACUCCUAUCCAUUUGAUUAUUAAAAUCCUCUUCUGCUAAGGCCACCCUUCAGUGAAUGUCUUAGUCUGUUCAGGCUUCUAUAACAGACAUACCAUAGACUGGGUGGCUUAUAAGCAACAGGUAUUUAUUUCUCACAGUUUUGAAGGCUGGAAGUCCAAGAUCAAGGUGCUGGCAGAUGUGGUGUCUGGUGAGAGCUAACUUCCUGGUUCAUAGAUGGCAUCUUCUUGCUGUGUCCUCACAUGGCAGAAGGGACCAGGGAGCUCUCCGGGGUCUCUUUAUAAGGACACUGAAUCUCAUUCAGGAGGGACCCACCCUCAUGAUCUAAUUCCCUUCCAAAGACCCCACCUUCUAAUACCAUCACCUUGGGGGGUAGGAUUUGAACAUAUGAAUUUGUUUGGGGGGGGACACAAACAAUCAGAACAUAGCAGUGAGCAUUGACAUGGGAUACCUCACACUUAUUGCCCAUUCAGAGAAGCCUGUUUGCAGAUCUCUUCCCCAGACUUCUUCAUCAUGAAUUUUCCAAUCAUCUUCUUUUCAAGUCCCUGAUCCUCCAGCCAAACCACUGGCUCCAGCCUCCGAAUCAGCAUAAGAUCACACAUCUGGCCAUUUCUCCUUCCAGGUAAAAUGAACAACAAAACCUGGUGCCCUGCUCACAGUUCUGCCCACUGGGAUCCCCUUCACUACUGUCCUUCAGGGGUGUCCCAGAGAGGGGCUAUAGUGCUGCAGCUGUUCAGUUUCAGGGGGUGUCUGCAGAUCAUGCAGAACCAUCUGUAAACCAGGCCUGAAUUUUCUUUCCCUUAACUGAUGGUAGGGACCUCCCCAGGAAGCCAUAGGUGCAGCAUGAGAGAGAGCAGGUAGCAGGGCUCUGUACCAUGUGACCUUUUGCUUAAACAGUGCAGUUUUAUAUUACCCCUAUAAUAAUUUUUGAAAACCUGCAUACUCACUACUGUGGUCUGACUGUUUGUGUCUCCCCCCACCCCCAAUGUGUAUGUUGAAAUCCUACCCCCCAAGGUGAUGGUAUUAGGAGGUGGGGCCUUUGGAAGGGAAUUAGGUCAUGAGGGUGGGUCCCUCAUGAAUAGGAUUAGUGCCCUUAUAAAGAUAACCAAGACUCCCUGAUAUACACUAUUAGAAGCGACAGAUGUGGGGCAAGAGAUUGUGCUAGAACCAUCCACAGCAUGGUGGCUAAAUGCAGUCUGCUGUCUGUUUCUGUACAGCCUGUGAGUUAAGAAUGGCCUUUUCUUUUCCUUCCUUCCUCCCUCCCUCCCUCUUCCUUCCUUCCUUCCUUUCUCUUUCUUUCUUUCUUAUUUCUUUUUCUUUCUUUCUUUUUCUUUCUUUCUUUCUUUCUUUCUUUCUUUCUUUCUUUCUUUCUUUCUUUUUGUCUCUUUUCCUUCCUCCCUCCCUCCCUCCCUCCCUUCCUUCCUUCCUUCCUUCCUUCCUUCCUUCCUUCCUUCAUUUUUGACCAUGCCUCACGGCAUGCAAUAUCUUACUUCCCUGACCAGGGAUUGAGCCCAUGCCCCCUGCAGUGGAAGCAUGGAGUCUUAACCACUGGACCGCCAGGGAAGUCCCCAGGCCUUUUCAUUUAUAAAUGGCUGGAAAAAAUUUUCACGACUUGAAAAUUAUCUGCAAUUCAAAUUUUAAUGUCCAAGGGAUUGGGGGGAUAGAACAGAUGUUGUUGAAGGGCAUAAACUUGCAAUGAGUAGUAAAUAAGUCCUAGAGUUCCACAGAUGCACAGAAGAGUAAAUAUAGACAACAGUCUUGUAUUAUAAUCAUCAGACUUGCUAAGAGACUAGCAAUUUAAUUAUUCCCACCACUAAAAAGAAAUAAUGAUGUAACAUCAUAGAGGUGCUAAUUAUGGAUACAAUGGCAAUCAUAUUAUAAUAUCUAAAUCAGUUACAAUAUAUAAAUGUGUCAAGUGUUGGACACCUUAAAUUUACACAGUGUUAUAUGGCAAAUAUAUUUCAAUUAAAGUCAGAGUUCAUAAAUAAAGUUUUAUUGACACACAGCUGUGCUCAUUCAUUUACCUACUAUCUGGGGCUGCUUUUACACUACGAGGCAGAGUUGAGUCAUUGCAACAGAGACUGCCUGGCCCUCAGAGCAGAAAAUAUUUCCUGUCUGGCCCUUUCCAGAUGUUUGCAGACCCCUGCUCUGAGGAGCCUAAGACCUGAAUGUUACCUGAUGCUGACUCGGGGCUUCCUGGGAUGUUUCCUGGUUGGCACAGCAAAGAGUUCUGGAGGCUGGAACAUCCAAGACCAAGGUGCCAUCAGGUCUGGUGUCCAGUGAGGGCUUCGUGGUUCACAGAUGGUGUCAUUUUGCUGUGUCCUCACAUGGCAGAAAGGGCAAGUGUAUGGUGGAGUUUCCAGGGGAGAUUGGCUAUUGCAACAGGUGGAAUGCAGCAUCAGAUAUGAGAAUCCAGCUGCUUUCUGUUCAGUCAACAUUAAUGGGAAGCAAACAUGUAAAACAAUGCCUCUCUUUUUAUGGCAUGUUUUUGUUUUGAAUGUGAUUAUUUUUCAUUAAAAAUGUUAUUCGUUA
This is a long non-coding RNA of Orcinus orca (killer whale), 11836 nucleotides long. RefSeq lists it as uncharacterized. The transcript has 3 exons. The record is from RefSeq and is a predicted model, not a curated record. Lineage: Eukaryota; Metazoa; Chordata; Mammalia; Artiodactyla; Delphinidae.